This 464-nucleotide ribosomal RNA is filed under the name uncultured bacterium. RNAcentral's name for it is "partial 16S ribosomal RNA". It matches the Rfam family "Bacterial small subunit ribosomal RNA", at positions 339 to 795 of the family's 1533-position model. The record is from RNAcentral.
CUACGGGUUGCUCCAGUGAGGAAUUUUGCGCAAUGGGGGAAACCCUGACGCAGCAACGCCGCGUGAGUGAUGAAGGCUUUCGAGUCGUAAAGCUCUGUCAAGUGGGAAGAACCUACUAAGUGCCAAUACCACUUAGUACUGACGGUACCACUGAAGGAAGCACCGGCUAACUCCGUGCCAGCAGCCGCGGUAAUACGGGGGGUGCAAGCGUUACUCGGAAUUAUUGGGCGUAAAGGGCGCGCAGGCGGCCAGGUAAGUCAGAGUGAAAGCCCGGGGCUCAACCCCGGAAGUGCAUUUGAAACUACUUGGCUUGAGUAUGGGAGAGGGAAGUGGAAUUCCUGGUGUAGAGGUGAAAUUCGUAGAUAUCAGGAGGAACACCGGUGGCGAAGGCGACUUCCUGGACCAAUACUGACGCUGAGGCGCGAAGGCGUGGGUAGCAAACAGGAUUAGAUACCCGUGUAGUC